RNAcentral lists this ribosomal RNA (468 nucleotides) under uncultured bacterium. RNAcentral's name for it is "partial 16S ribosomal RNA". It matches the Rfam family "Bacterial small subunit ribosomal RNA", at positions 28 to 507 of the family's 1533-position model. The record is from RNAcentral.
GACGAACGCUGGCGGCGUGCUUAACACAUGCAAGUCGAACGGUGAAGCUCCAGCUUGCUGGAGUGGAUCAGUGGCGAACGGGUGAGUAACACGUGAGCAACCUGCCCCUGACUCUGGAAUAAGCGCUGGAAACGGCGUCUAAUACUGGAUACGAGAAGGGCCCGCAUGGGCACUUUCUGGAAAGUUUUUCGGUUGGGGAUGGGCUCGCGGCCUAUCAGCUUGUUGGUGAGGUAAUGGCUCACCAAGGCGACGACGGGUAGCCGGCCUGAGAGGGCGACCGGCCACACUGGGACUGAGACACGGCCCAGACUCCUACGGGAGGCAGCAGUGGGGAAUAUUGCACAAUGGGCGAAAGCCUGAUGCAGCGACGCCGCGUGAGGGAUGACGGCCUUCGGGUUGUAAACCUCUUUCAGCAGGGAAGAAGCGAAAGUGACGGUACCUGCAGAAGAAGCGCCGGCUAACUACGUG